This 365-nucleotide ribosomal RNA is filed under the name uncultured bacterium. RNAcentral's name for it is "partial 16S ribosomal RNA". It matches the Rfam family "Bacterial small subunit ribosomal RNA", at positions 338 to 700 of the family's 1533-position model. The record is from RNAcentral.
CCUACGGGUGGCAGCAGUGAGGAAUAUUGGUCAAUGGACGAGAGUCUGAACCAGCCAAGUAGCGUGAAGGAUGACUGCCCUAUGGGUUGUAAACUUCUUUUAUAAAGGAAUAAAACGAGGCACGUGUGCCUUUUUGCAUGUACUUUAUGAAUAAGGAUCGGCUAACUCCGUGCCAGCAGCCGCGGUAAUACGGAGGAUCCGAGCGUUAGCCGGAUUUAUUGGGUUUAAAGGGAGCGUAGAUGGGUUGUUAAGUCAGUUGUGAAAGUUUGCGGCUCAACCGUAAAAUUGCAAUUGAUACUGGCAGUCUUUAGUACAGUUGAGGUAGGUGGCAUUCGUUGUGUAGCGGUUCACUGCUUAGCUCUCAC